GAUGAAGAACGCAGCGAAAUGCUAUAAGUAAUGUGAAUUGCAGAAUUCAGUGAAUCAUCGAAUCUUUGAACGCACCUUGCGCCCUUUGGCCAUUCCGAAGGGCAUGCCUGUUUGAGUAUCAUGAACACCUCAACUCUUUAUGGUUUUCCAUGAUGAGCUUGGACUCUGGGGGUUUUGCUGGCUCACAGUCGGCUCCUCUAAAAUGAAUCAGCUUACCAGUGUUUGGUGGGUAUCAUGGGUGUGAUAACUAUCUACGCUUGUGGUUUUUCCACCAGGUAACCUUCAGCAGUGGAGGUUCGCUGGAGCUCAUAGAUGUCUCUCCUCAGUGAGGACAGCCCUUUGAAUGUUUGAUCUCAAAUCAGGUAGGACUACCCGCUGAACUUAAGCAUAUCAAUAAGCGGAGGA
RNAcentral lists this unclassified non-coding RNA (405 nucleotides) under soil metagenome. RNAcentral's name for it is "partial contains 5.8S ribosomal RNA, internal transcribed spacer 2, and large subunit ribosomal RNA". The stretch from base 1 to 121 matches the Rfam family "5.8S ribosomal RNA", at positions 35 to 154 of the family's 154-position model. The record is from RNAcentral.